CGAAACUUUGACUGGAAUUAUGCCCACAGGUAGUCCCAUGGGACACAGGAAUGUCCAAAACCCUGCUCUUGCACGGUUGAAUUACUUUUAUAAACUCCUUCCUAGCUGGGCCCCUUACCAGGUAGCGUACCUGGGCAAAUGCUCUGUGCCUCAGUUUCCAUGUUUGCAACAUAAGAUCCAUAAGUCCCAUUGAGUUGUUAGGAGGGUAUAAAAAGAACAUAACUCACGGAGAAUGCUCAGACUAGUGUAUGGCAUGUGGUAAAUACUCAAUGAGCGUGUGUCACCAGCCUUGCUAUUAUUAUUACUGCUGCCACUACUAUAUUUAGUCCUUCUAAAAUAAUGUUUCCCAGGAACCUUCUGUGGUAUUUGGUGAGUAGGUGAUUGUGUCCCACUGAUCUGGCUCAAGAGUGAUCUUUUUCCACAUUACCCCCAUGGCCCUUAGCUUCUAGCCACUCUUACAGAAUAUGAAUUCAUUCUGCUUUAUAGAGAGGCUGUGUACAUAUUUUUCACUCUAAGAUUGCUUCCUCCCUGAGGGUAGGGAUGUGACUCUGCCUUCUUUCUGUCCCUCCUGGUGCCUACUCUUUGCUCUGUUCAGGGUAAGGCUCCAAGCCUGCUUGUUGGAUGAUAUUAAGCGAAGGAAAUGAUGACUGCCCGUGGGGGUUCACAUUACCUAAACGCACUGUUGAGCAGCCCUGUAGAAUGAUGGCCCAGGCCAACGACUUAAUGUGAUCCAACAGGCCAUUUUCAAAGUAAGGGCCCAAGAUAAGGAUAAGCAAAAGGAGAUCUAAGCUGCCUUUUAAUAAACAUGCUGCAGUCUUUUAGUGGCAGGGCCCCUGUUACAUUGGAGCACAGGAUCACGUAUCAACAAUAAAAAAAGUCUAGAGGAAAAGUUACUCAGAAUUAGUCUAGAGCAUAGUGCAUUUUUAAAGCCAGCAAGUAAGUGUGUCCAGUGUGAGGCACGUUUGCACAUGUGGUUCAUGGGACAUUGAUUUUCUCCGACGCAAGCUAACAACAACAACAACAACAGCAGCAGCAACAACAACAACAACAACAGCAACAACAGCAGCAACAGCAGCAACAACAACAGCAAAGCCCAGUCAAGUUACCAGGAGGAAAGGAAAUGUGACAUUUCUGUCACUGAUGUGAACCAAGAGAGGGCUUGUUAUAUUACAGUGAUUGUCAAAAUCAGACACAUUCUUAAACGUGACGGUCAGGGGGAGAAAUUCUUCCGGAGACCACACUGCAAGCAUUGUUUUGAAUUCAGAGUCAUGGCCAUCCCUUUUCUCUGCAGGACUGUAGAGGUGACCUACAAAGGAACACUGAUUAGAGGCAGAGACUGCACUCCGAGAUCCUAUGAAAGACCUCACUGGACUCAGCUCCUGGAGAGAGAAGCUGUGUCAGAGCAGAGAAGACCUCAUCCGGGUGUCUCUACACAAGAUAUAUCCUGAUUACUGAAGAGCAGAUUGUGUACAAAAAGCUCCCGAUCACUUUCAGAAACUUAUAAAGGGCUGCUUCAGCUCCAUUCACUGUCA
This 1532-nucleotide long non-coding RNA is filed under the name Ursus maritimus (polar bear). Its description in RNAcentral is "lncRNA (ENSUMAG00000025463.1)". The record is from RNAcentral. Lineage: Eukaryota; Metazoa; Chordata; Mammalia; Carnivora; Ursidae.